Molecule: non-coding RNA, 73 nt
Organism: Stegodyphus mimosarum
Lineage: Eukaryota; Metazoa; Arthropoda; Arachnida; Araneae; Eresidae
Source: Rfam
GCCUUUGUGGUGUAGUGGUCAGCACACUCGACGCGUAUUCGAGAGGUCUGAGGCUCGAAUCCCGGCGAAGGCA